RNAcentral lists this ribosomal RNA (345 nucleotides) under uncultured bacterium. Its description in RNAcentral is "partial 16S ribosomal RNA". It matches the Rfam family "Bacterial small subunit ribosomal RNA", at positions 338 to 681 of the family's 1533-position model. The record is from RNAcentral.
UCUACGGGUGGCAGCAGUGAGGAAUAUUGGUCAAUGGGCGCGAGCCUGAACCAGCCAAGUCGCGUGAGGGAAGACGGUCCUAUGGAUUGUCAAACUCUUUUGUCGGUGAGCAAAAGACGCCACGUGUGGGGUUCCGAGAGUACCCGAAGCAAAAGCAACGGCUAACCACGUGCCAGCAGCCGCGGUAAUACGGAGGAUGCGAGCGUUAUCCGGAUUUCUUGGGUUGAAAGGGUGCGCAGGAGGAAGAGCAAGUCAGCGGUAGAAUUGAGAGGCUCAACCUCUUCGAGCCGUUGAAACUGGUUUUCUUGAGUGAGCGAGAAGUAUGCUGAAUGCGUUGUGUAGCGG